This 964-nucleotide ribosomal RNA is filed under the name Ralstonia pickettii. RNAcentral describes it as "bacterial SSU rRNA". It matches the Rfam family "Bacterial small subunit ribosomal RNA", at positions 57 to 1012 of the family's 1533-position model. Lineage: Bacteria; Pseudomonadati; Pseudomonadota; Betaproteobacteria; Burkholderiales; Burkholderiaceae. The record is from RNAcentral.
GCAGUCGAACGGCAGCAUGAUCUAGCUUGCUAGAUUGAUGGCGAGUGGCGAACGGGUGAGUAAUACAUCGGAACGUGCCCUGUAGUGGGGGAUAACUAGUCGAAAGAUUAGCUAAUACCGCAUACGACCUGAGGGUGAAAGUGGGGGACCGCAAGGCCUCAUGCUAUAGGAGCGGCCGAUGUCUGAUUAGCUAGUUGGUGAGGUAAAGGCUCACCAAGGCGACGAUCAGUAGCUGGUCUGAGAGGACGAUCAGCCACACUGGGACUGAGACACGGCCCAGACUCCUACGGGAGGCAGCAGUGGGGAAUUUUGGACAAUGGGCGAAAGCCUGAUCCAGCAAUGCCGCGUGUGUGAAGAAGGCCUUCGGGUUGUAAAGCACUUUUGUCCGGAAAGAAAUGGCUCUGGUUAAUACCUGGGGUCGAUGACGGUACCGGAAGAAUAAGGACCGGCUAACUACGUGCCAGCAGCCGCGGUAAUACGUAGGGUCCAAGCGUUAAUCGGAAUUACUGGGCGUAAAGCGUGCGCAGGCGGUUGUGCAAGACCGAUGUGAAAUCCCCGAGCUUAACUUGGGAAUUGCAUUGGUGACUGCACGGCUAGAGUGUGUCAGAGGGGGGUAGAAUUCCACGUGUAGCAGUGAAAUGCGUAGAGAUGUGGAGGAAUACCGAUGGCGAAGGCAGCCCCCUGGGAUAACACUGACGCUCAUGCACGAAAGCGUGGGGAGCAAACAGGAUUAGAUACCCUGGUAGUCCACGCCCUAAACGAUGUCAACUAGUUGUUGGGGAUUCAUUUCCUUAGUAACGUAGCUAACGCGUGAAGUUGACCGCCUGGGGAGUACGGUCGCAAGAUUAAAACUCAAAGGAAUUGACGGGGACCCGCACAAGCGGUGGAUGAUGUGGAUUAAUUCGAUGCAACGCGAAAAACCUUACCUACCCUUGACAUGCCACUAACGAAGCAGAGAUGCAUU